This 2096-nucleotide long non-coding RNA is filed under the name Salmo salar (Atlantic salmon). RNAcentral's name for it is "lncRNA (ENSSSAG00000122025.1)". Lineage: Eukaryota; Metazoa; Chordata; Actinopteri; Salmoniformes; Salmonidae. The record is from RNAcentral.
CAAGAGCAAUGUUGCACUUUAUCAACGGAAAAACUCAUGCAACUCACCUACCUGUUGACCCCACCCCACGACCACGUGACCAACACACGUUCACGUUGGUCAGAAGGCACAAAACGGCAUAAGGAGUUUUAAAUGGAGGCGGGACUAUCUGAUUUUGUCCAAUAACAAUGAUCAUGUUUUUUUAACGGUUUUGAAAGAGCCCCUGAUUGGGCCAGGGUGGCAUUUACCUGGUGGAGUCUUAGUCCGGUAGCAUGACGAUUAAAACUAAAUUAUUCGGCUAAUGUCUCGUCCGCUACAUAGGCAAAUUAGUCUGAGACUGCAAUCACGGAGGGGGUUCGCUUAUCUGGCCCGAAGAGUUUGAACCGGGUGAAACGUGAUUGCUUUCGUUUUGGAACGGGGCUGCCUCCGGGGCGUGAGCCAGUGCCCAGCGCUCGCCGACCGCGAACACUGACCAAAACAAACGUGACAUAGCCACGCACGUGUAGUAAUGAGUGGGAUUGUGUUUUCACAUGCAAAGGCAGAGCAGGCAACAGAUGGCACACAGACAGCAGAGUUGGGGACAGAUAUGCAGGGACAGACUGGCAGUCUCAGACGCUUUAUCUGGACAUGGUUCGUCAGGACCUCCAACAGCCGAAGCUAAGUAUUAACAUUAACAUGAUGCCUUCUAAUUGCAGUCGUUGUACUCAUAAUAUACAGGAGAACGAUCGCCUUACGGCGAGGAUAGCUGUGCUGCAAGCCCAGCUUCAGACGCAAUCGUUAGGCAAGGGUAAUUUAAGUGUAGGAAAGGAUGAAACAGCGUCUGUGCCACCAGUAAGUACAGAUAGCAGUAUAAAUCCCCUCGCACGGUCCCCGCAGCCGGACAACUUUCUCAUGGCUUCUGGAGGGAAAUGCUGUAGGAAUGCUCAACCGGUGUCGCUCAUUCAGCCGACGAAAACGUUCAAUCGGUUCUCCCCAUUAAGCAGCAAGUCGGAGUCAGAGGCCGAGCCUUCUCUGGUCUCUAUUCCUCCUGUUACGAGGUCUGAGAUGCCGAAGCCUCCCACCAUUUGCUCUGACAAAUUUAAAACCCUAGUCAUUGGCGACUCCAUUACCCGCAGUAUUAGAAUUAAAAUGAAUCAUCCAGUGAUCAUACACUGUUUAUCAGGGGGCAGGGCUACCGAUGUUAAGGCUAAUCUGAAGAUGGUGCUGGCUAAAGCUAAAACUGGCGAGUGUAGAGAGUAUAGGGAUAUUGUUAUCCACAUCGGCAGCAACGAUGUUAGGAUGAAACAGUCAGAGGUCACCAAGCGCAACAUAGCUUCAGCGUGUAAAUCAGCUAGAAAGAUGUGUCGGCAUUGAGUAAUUGUCUCUGGCCCCAUCCCAGUUAGGGGGAGUGAUGAGCUCUACCGCAGUCUCACAACUCAAUUGCUGGUUGAAAACUGUUUUCUGCCCCUUCCAAAAGAUAGAAUUUGUAGAUAAUUGGCCCUCUUUCUGGGACUCACCCACAAACAGGACCAAGCCUGGCCUGUUGAGGAGUGACGGACUCCAUCCUAGCUGGAGGGAUGCUCUCAUCUUAUCUACAAACACAGACAGGGCUCUAACUCCCCUAGCUCCACAAUGAAAUAGGGUGCAGGCCAGGCAGCAGGCUGUUAGCCAGCAUGCCAGCUUAGUGGAGUCUGCCACUAGCACAGUCAGUGUAGUCAGCUCAGCUAUCCCCAUUGAGACCGUGUCUGUGCCUCGACCUAGGUUGGGCAAAACUAAACAUGGCGGUGUUCGCCUUAGCAAUCUCACUAGAAUAAAGACCUCCAUUCCUGCCAUUAUUGAAAGAGAUCGUGAUACCUCACAUCUCAAAAUAGGGCUACUUAAUGUUAGAUCCCUCACUUCCAAGGCAGUUAUAGUCAAAGAACUAAUCACUGAUUAUAAUCUUGGUGUGAUUGGCCUGACUGAAACAUGGCUUAAGCCUGAUGAUUUUACUGUGUUAAAUGAGGCCUCAUCUCCUGGUUACACUAGUGACCAUAUCCCCACUCAUCCCGCAAAGGCGGGGGUGUUGCUAACAUUUACGAUAGCAAAUUUCAAUUUACAAAAAAAUAAAUGACGUUUUCGUCUUUUGAGCUUCUAGUCAU